AGAGUUUGAUCAUGGCUCAGAACGAACGCUGGCGGCAUGCCUAACACAUGCAAGUCGAACGUGAUCCAGGCUUCGGCCUGGUGAAAGUGGCAGACGGGUGAGUAACGCGUGGGAACCUGCCCUGUGGUAGGGAAUAACCGUGGGAAACUGCGGCUAAUACCCUAUGAGUCCUUCGGGAGAAAGAUUUAUCGCCAUAGGAGGGGCCCGCGUCGGAUUAGGUAGUUGGUGGGGUAACGGCCUACCAAGCCUUCGAUCCGUAGCUGGUCUGAGAGGAUGAUCAGCCACACUGGGACUGAGAUACGGCCCAGACUCCUACGGGAGGCAGCAGUGGGGAAUAUUGGACAAUGGGGGCAACCCUGAUCCAGCAAUGCCGCGUGGAUGAUGAAGGCCUUCGGGUUGUAAAGUCCUUCGGCGGGGAAGAUGAUGACGGUACCCGCAGAAGAAGCCCCGGCUAACUUUCGUGCCAGCAGCCGCGGUA
RNAcentral lists this ribosomal RNA (478 nucleotides) under uncultured Pseudomonadota bacterium. RNAcentral's name for it is "bacterial SSU rRNA". It matches the Rfam family "Bacterial small subunit ribosomal RNA", at positions 8 to 522 of the family's 1533-position model. Lineage: Bacteria; Pseudomonadati; Pseudomonadota. The record is from RNAcentral.